This is a non-coding RNA of Sus scrofa (pig), 1263 nucleotides long. The record is from RefSeq and is a predicted model, not a curated record. NCBI's taxonomy places the organism in Eukaryota, Metazoa, Chordata, Mammalia, Artiodactyla, Suidae.
UCACAGUGUGGUUGAUGGCUUGAGGACUCUUCCCGGGAAAAGCUUAAUUCAAUUAGGGCUCUCAGCAGCUCCCUGAGGAAGCUCUGGUAUCUUGCUUUUACUUACACAAAUCGAGGGCAGACCAAACAAACCCAGACUUUCCCAGAGAGACCCCACCCAGCCCACAGAGGAUGCCCUUGCAGAUCCUCCAUUAGAGCCAAGUUGGUGGGGGUGGGGGAGAGGCAGCUGCUGUAGCAACACUAACACACACCCGCUGGCUGACGCCUAGAGCAUCGCUGUGUCAAGCUGGUUUCUUGUCUGCCCCAAAGGCUUCACACGGACCCUAUCUCUACAUGGAAGUCAGUCAAGCACUCAUUUGUUCCCCAGAUAUUUAGGAGUCCUUCCUCUGUGCUGGGCACAGAGAAGAAAGUAAACAAAGGCUCUGCCCUCAAGGGGCUUACAUCCUCCUAGGAACCAUGCUAAGAAUAGCUCUCUCUGUCCUGCCUGCUUGCCUAAUCCCUCUCCAUCUUCAAGACUGGCUCAAGUUCCACUUCCUCUGAGAAGCCUUUCCUAGUGACCUGUGCUCUCAGGGACUGCUUGUUCCCUCUGAACUUGGCCUGUGCCAGGCGUCCGCCCAGCCCUCAGUACAGACGGACCAUUUUCUCCAAGCAGACUGGAAGCUCCCAGUGAGCCAGGCCCGGGUCUCACUCGUCUCGGUCCCCGUGCGCUACAAGCUCAGAGCCUGCUGGUCAGUUUCAGCUAACCUGCCUCUUCGACUCCAGCUUGAACAGACGAAUUAGUUGGCCACUCUCAGUCCUGGCUGGCCAGCCCAAAGCCACAGCCUCUGUGAGUCUGCCUGGCACACAGCAUGUGCUAUGUAAGUGUUAGCUACUUAUUAUUUUGGUGAGCUUACAGACUCUGACUGACACACGGGCACCUCUCUGAUGUCACCUCUCUGCCUUCAGUGGCCUGGUCUCAGACAGGCUGAGCACUGUGGAAGGGCUGGACUGGACUUAGGGAGGCCCUACAACACAACAAAGGAGAGGAAAGGCCCUCCGUUUCAGAAGUUUGCUGCUCCAUAAACUAUGAGGAUGACAGACCCAUAGGCUGAGUCAGCCUUCACACUCUCGCACUUCCUUCACACAAACGCAGGUCCAGCCACUUGGGAGAUGACAGAAGAGCCUAGAAGAGCCAUCAGAGAAAGAGAAGGGCCCUGUGUCUCCUGGAAGCAGAUGAAAGGAGAACAUCAGCUGUAAUGAAAAUAAACCAAAGAGAGGAAAAGCA